This is a small nuclear RNA of Otolemur garnettii (small-eared galago), 141 nucleotides long. Its record names the gene U4. It matches the Rfam family "U4 spliceosomal RNA". From Rfam's summary of the family: U4 small nuclear RNA (U4 snRNA) is a component of the major U2-dependent spliceosome. Lineage: Eukaryota; Metazoa; Chordata; Mammalia; Primates; Galagidae. The record is from Ensembl.
AGCUUUGCUCAGUGGCAGUAUCAUAGCCAAUGAGAUUUAUCCAAUGCACAAUUAUUGCUAAUUGAAAACUUUUCCCAAUACCCCACAAUGAUGACUUGAAAUAUAGUCGGCAUUGGCAAUUUUUGACAGUCUCCACAGAGA